RNAcentral lists this unclassified non-coding RNA (218 nucleotides) under soil metagenome. RNAcentral's name for it is "partial contains 5.8S ribosomal RNA, internal transcribed spacer 2, and large subunit ribosomal RNA". The record is from RNAcentral.
AACCUUAUGGACCUGCGGGCGUAUACCUGCGGAAGGAUCAUUACAAGUGACCCCGGUCUAACCGCCGGGAUGUUCAUAACCCUUUGUUGUCCGACUCUGUUGCCUCCGGGGCGACCCUGCCUUCGGGCGGGGGCUCCGGGUGGACACUUCAAACUCUUGCGUAACUUUGCAGUCUGAGUAAACUUAAUUAAUAAAUUAAAACUUUCAACAAUGGAUCU